Long non-coding RNA from Ostrea edulis (European flat oyster), 5071 nucleotides. RefSeq lists it as uncharacterized. NCBI's taxonomy places the organism in Eukaryota, Metazoa, Mollusca, Bivalvia, Ostreida, Ostreidae. The transcript is spliced from 4 exons. The record is from RefSeq and is a predicted model, not a curated record.
UGGGCAUCUGAGUAUAAGGAAGUACCGUAUUAACCUAUUUGUGCCUACUUAAACACAGCUCAUUUGUCUCAAGUAUUAUCUGUAAUAACACGAAUGCCUCUGCCUUUCAUGGAAGAAUAAAAAAUCAGAAAAUAUGAAAGUGUCGGUGAUUGUAGCCUGUAGUUUUGUUUUAAUCGGCAAUAACGUGUUCAGUCAGUAUAUAACAUGGGACAGUAACGAUGAGAAAGAUUUAUCUGCGUGUCCGUAUCAACUUGCCAUUGCUCAAAAGGAAUUACAGCGCGUGGAUAAGAAGAUUAAAGAUCUCAGUGAUCUAGUGGGGACGAGACAAAUUGGGGGACAUGGAGGACUACGGGGGCUACCUGGUUUACCCGGAGUUCCGGGAGAAAGAGGACCACCUGGCUUUGAUGGACUCCUAGGAAGACCUGGGGAACCCGGAGUCAGUGGGCUACCAGGACAACAAGGACCAAAGGGAGACAAAGGUGAACCUGGACGACCUGGACUCCCGGGACUAAUCGGAAGGAAAGGAGAGCCUGGAUUACCGGGAACAUAGUGGGAACUGUACAGUAUAUGGGGCUCUUAUCAGAACUUUAAGGGACUCACAUUAAAUAUCUUUCUUAACGCUCAACUGUUAUCGAACUGCUUUCAAAGGAAGGAGUAUGUUUUUGUCAUAUACUCUCCUAAAAUUUUUGAAAUCUUCAAACGUUUUAGAAGAAAUGGGUUCCUUAAAGAGGUUCGCACCUGACAUUUGGAGUAAUGUCAAUGUUUUGGGAAGUAUAUUUUUGAUUUCUACAUUGAAGGAGAAUUAGGAAAUUACAAAGACAAACUGGGGUCGCAACGCUUGUAAUUGAGCUACAGUGUUCUAAACAUGACCUUUUUGCACUUAAAAUUUAUUCAAUUAAACUUGAUUUUUCUGUUAGUGUCAACACAACAUAAGCAACACAAAUCAACCAAUACAUUAAAUAGAUGCAUAAUUAUGUCCUCUAACACUACAGAUGAAAAAAGAAAUUAAUACUAGUGUAACCGAGCAGAUAACCUACACAUAGUCGUAAAGAGUUAUCUUUCUUCCGAACGAGAACAAUGGGUGAAGCGAAAGGACUUGCACUUUCACGAAUGACACCAUUAACAAGUAGUUUCAGAAUGUGUUGCUUUACUUCUUCAAAUUGGGAUGGAGGGAUGCGACGGUAUUGUUGAGAUAUUGUCUUAUGAUCAACAAGUCGAAUGCGAUGUUGACUUGUGUUUGUACAUCCAAUAUCACAAACUAUUUAAACUGGGCUGAUCGCUGAUCGUGUUCGGAUUACUUGCUAGCAGAGUAGCGGGUCUUUUGUCCGUAGUCUCCUCCUCUUCGCUAAAAGUAUGAUUUCAUCUCGGAAUCUGUGAAAUUCUGUAGGGUUAUUCCGCAAUAGUCUCUUUGCUUCCUUCCUUAGAAACGGAUCACGAAGACCAUUAGCAAAUUGUUCUCAUAGGGUAAUGUUUUUGUUCGGAAACACACUACUGUUCUUUCUGAGCACAAUUUGGUAGAGAUCCAGUAAUUCGUAUGAAUAGUGUCUGAUUGUUUCUGAAUGUUCCUGGUUUCGUUCAAAAAACCUCUGCUGCAGAGUUGUAACGGAUUCCGGAGUUCAAAAUGCCGAUUUCAAACAAUCUAAUAUAGCGUAUGGUGAAUGACGAAUUUCUGGACAAAACUUCACUUCUUCUUUGACCUGGCCCUCUAGAUGUGAAUAAAUCAAGUCAACCUUCUGUGAAUCUGUGUAUUUUCUAGCUGAGAAAGUAAUUUCAAGUUCAUCAAUCCAAUCAUCAAUAGAUAAGUCAGAUUUUGAUACGGGGUGUCCAGAAAAUGUCUUAAUUUUUCUAGUUUCGGGAAGAAAAACUUGUUUCUCAAUUACAGUUUUUGAAUUGUGUUUCGCCUCUAACAAUUCCAUUUCCAAUUCGCGAACUCUUUGUUGUAGAUCAGCUUUCUUCGUGUUGAAAACACAGGUAACAACGGUACAACAAGUACUCACUAUGGAAUCUAUUCACUGUCACCGCACAAGCAUCGGACUUUUAAAUGCCAUGUAACGUCGGUAGGAGAAAUACUCACAGUGGCUUUACAGAUUCCUAGGGUUGAUGGUUCACAAAAGAUAUUAGCUCCAUUUCCUGCUAUCUUUGGAAAUAAAUUUCGGGGUAUUCAAUGCCCAGAUAUGAUGGGUUUUUUUCUUCUCGCAGUGCCAUAUUGUAACCGAGCAGCAAGGGGAAUCUUGAUUCGGCUUUAUGUUGUUUAUUUUUGUAGAAAUAUACAAGUAUAAGAAUAAGACAAUGACCACAAGAUGCACCCGAUGAAAGCUGGACAGCUAGAUCUUCGGAGGAAAAUGUACACUGCUUUGAUUUACUCAGUCUUAACGGUAACUCUCAAGCAAUCAGGUUCUUUCUGUGUAUUUGAUAAGGACAAUGUUUACUUUAUUCUUCUGAUGUACAUGAAUAUCCAUUUAAUGAAGAUCAUAGGAUACACGAGAUUUUGGACACAACAAAUGAAGUAGGAUUUACAUAACACUCGGAAAAAGUUUUAUCUGAAAACGAAAGCAAAAAUGAAUUCUAAGUAUUAAAAAAAAAUCCAGAUUCCAAAAACAUACUGAUUGAAAUAUUCAUAGCUUGAUCUAGUAUCCAAUGCAGAAUAUUCAACGUGGAUAACAUCUUCAGAUGUUAACAUUACAAGUGACUUGGGACGAUGAGGAAAACCUAAGUCACCCUAAUAAUCUUUUUUUUUCAAAUGUAAUCAACAUUAAAAUAAAGUCAAAUCGCUCGACUGUCGAUAAGGAUCCAGAUUUACACAAGGAUAUCCUUGACGACAAGUUGACGUUGUGUACGCAGGUCCAGCAUACUCGCUUUGUAAAUGGAAAGAAUAACUUAAAUGACUCAACAUACCUUCAAUUGUUAAUAAUGAAUUUCACUUGAUUUCUACUCGGUAAAAAUAUUUAAUUUUGUGCUGAAGAGUCGUACGUGUAAGCAUGUAGUUUUCCUCAAUUUUGCUUAUGUUGAACAACAUGGUAGUGGCUGGGUACUUGCUUAAGAACAAUCAACUCCAUAUACAGUAACUUUAGUCCGGACAACUGAUACUUGUUCUGCGGUACACCAAAGAUACGCACGAUGCUAUGUUGGUGCUACUUGCAUUUCAAUAUUUGUUGAACAAAUGUUUUACAACUUGUCCAAAUAUCAUUCACAUUCUACAUUCGACAGUAAGUUCAUUCCGGACAACUGAUAUUUUGUUCUGUGAUACGUUUCUAAGUACACCAAAGAUACGCACGAUGUUAUGUGGUGGUACUUUUAUUUUAAUAUUUGUUGUAUGAAUGUAACCUUUACGAUUUGUCCAACUCUAUCAUUCACGAUCCCUAGACCUUGGUAUCUAACAAUGGUUACAUGAAUUCGGACUUUGAAAUCAAAAUGUAAUAAAUGAUGAUGAACAUUAUAUUAUCAUGACACAAAAUAAAAUGAAUAAAAUAUUUAUUAAUGAACAGAAUUAAAUUCCUUAGAAUAUCAUGAAUAUAUGGCAGUAAUUAUGUCGUAAUAUCUUAGGGGACAAGAAGAUAUGCAGCUUCAUAGAAAAGUAUUUCGAAAGCGGUUUGGUGACCUCGUGGAGCUGGAAUUCAUCUCGAACAGUCCUAUGCGCCAAAGAUACAAUUAUUCGAGCAUGCCUAAUGUUAAUUAGCAAAAUUCGGGAGAAAUAAUUGCUACAGCUAGAGGCGGAACUGGGUAUCCAAAUAAAAUAAAGUGAAAUUGUCUGUGCUUUAUACUAACUAUUCUUCACUUAGGGCAGUUGUGUUUAUUUAAGAGUUCAUGGCUAUGUCGGUGCUUUAUAUACAUACUUACGUCAACAUCCCAAAGUUAUGUAGCAAUAUUCUAAUAUCACUUGCAUAUUGUGUUUAUGUCUCGGACUAAUUCGAUUUGUGAGUAUGUGAUCUGCGUAUGAUAAAAUUUCAAUUCGAGGCGGGCUGUAAGGGAAGACGUCGGAUAUUUCAGGGUUCCAAUAGUUCCGUUUAAGGAUGGAGACUUGUCAGCGUUUUUUAACGUAAGAGGGUCUCCAUAGUUUGAGUGACGUAAAAUUUCUGUUGUUAGUUUUUGGAGAAUAAACAAUAAAUGAUUUUAUUGAAAUAGAAAUAGCAAUUUUGUAUUAUUUCCUAGCAGAAUUCAUUGAAUUUUCAAUGCUUCGAUAAACGCACGAAAAAACUUACGACAACCAUCUUAGCUCUUGCGAACGUGGGAGAAAAGCAUUGUUCUUUUACAGCAUGAUUAUGCAAUUUCCUGAGUUUUCCUCCGAUAAAGACAUCAACAGCAUCGCUACACACCUGGCACCGACAGACGACGCGACAUGUCAAAUGACAAUAAUACUGUCACACACGAAGAAAAUGAAGCAAUCAACAGUACUGAUGGAGAUGAAAGAAGGAGAACAUUUCAAGUGUGAGAUUGCAUUUGAGGAGAUUGAUAUGACAAUAGUACAUGCACCAGAGCCAACUGUCAAACAGCACUCCAGCCAGCAACAUAUUCCUCUUGUAUUCUUUGACUUGGAAUCAAAAGGACUGGCUAGAAAUUCUCAUAUUACACAGCUGCCAUGUGUGGUGAAGAAAAGUUUCCCAUCUAUACCUUUCUAAAAAUACCUAUAACAGCAAAAGACUCAGAAAUAACAGAAAUCGAAAAUGUUAAUGGAAAUAUGUUUAGCAAAAAUUAAAAAUGUAGAAGUCAAUCCUUGGAAAAUGGAUGCUCCUCUUGAUUUUGUUUCAAAAUUUCAAACUAAAGUAAUUCUGCAUUUAUAAUAGCAAUGUAUGAAUGUUAACAAAUAUGAAUGUUUAUUGUAUACUAUACUCAAUUUAACAUGUUCUGUUUAUGAGAGAGAGAGAGAGAGAGAGAGAGAGAGAGAGAGAGAGAGAGAGAGAGAGAUUAUUGCAAGAAUUGGAUAGUAACUGCAAAAAUUAUGUGCAAGCUGCACCAGUAAUGAUGUACACGGUGGUGAUAUUGUUCUCUGAAUUUUGAUAUAAAUUAAUGUACAUGUACCAAAUGAAAUUAUUCUAUUAAAUUUCCAUUUCAAAUGAAAAUGAGUCAAUUUCAA